AUGGCAGACAGCAGCCGCGAUACCGUCUUCGACGACCUGCCCGAGUGGCUCAUCGUCGACGAGAUCCUCUCCCGGUUGCCAGCCAAAGACGUACUCCGCUGCCGCGCAGUCCGCAAGUCGUGGCGCAGCACCACUUCCACCGACACAUUCAUCCUUCAGCACCACCACCAUCAACCCUCGCUCCCCAUCAUCGAGCACCUAAACGGCAUUUGCCGCCUCAACAGGGCCUCCAAUGAUCAAAAGAUACUGCCAGUCCUACAGUAUGCAGGCAGAAGCCCUAUUACAGGGGUCGACCUUAUGCACCGCGCCGUCUGUGAUGGCCUCAUCAUCCUGGCGCAGAAGCCUGAUUACUACAUCUGUAACCCGGCCACUCGCAAGUGUGCUUCCCUGCCACGCCCUCCACUACAGUCAGGCUUCAGCAACGACGAAAUAGUCGGCUUCUACCGGCACCAGCCAUCUGGAGAAUAUCGGAUGCUCUGGGCGUCAUACUCCAUACCCAUCAGGGUUGAAUUGCCUGAUUACUUUGUCCUCACAGUGGGAUCACACCAGCCAAGACGCAUCCAGUGGCAGGCAGUUUCAGAAAAAGGGUUUCCCGCUAUGUCGGCCCGUGAUUGUCCACCGGUCCAUCAUCGUGGUAGCCUGCACUGGGCAGUGGGCCUCGACAUAGCGGUAUUUGAUCCCGUAGCCGAGACAUUCUGGCACAUGAGCCGCCCAGCGCAGUUGGGUGAUAUGGUGUCAUUGUUUGAUACUGCCGGCGGCGCACUCGCUUUGUGCCGCACUGAUCGUACCUACGUCACUUUGGAUGUUUGGGUGUUGCAGGACUAUGAUGCCGAAACCUGGGGCUUUCAGUACCAUAUUAACUUGUUAGCGAUGGUGGCAUCGCCGCCGCUUGAUUUGAGGAUCAAAUAUGUCCCUAGGAUGGCUGUUAUCAAUGAGCAUGAGCUGGUUAUCGAUUAUCCUGACCGUCUGCUGCAUUGUAACAUUGAUGGUGUGUUUGUAGCAAAUCUGGAAAGCGAAGAGCAUGGAAACUACUUGAUGCUCACUCGGCAUCGUCUCCAAGAGAGCAUGAUUUCACUUCCAUUGUUUGAGAAGCAAGAAGAAGAUGCUGUGAACAAGGAGCCUCCAUUCCUCAUGGUGCUAUAA
RNAcentral lists this ribosomal RNA (1143 nucleotides) under Triticum aestivum (bread wheat). RNAcentral's name for it is "partial small subunit ribosomal RNA". Lineage: Eukaryota; Viridiplantae; Streptophyta; Magnoliopsida; Poales; Poaceae. The record is from RNAcentral.